This 497-nucleotide long non-coding RNA is filed under the name Homo sapiens (human). RNAcentral's name for it is "HSALNT0038334". The record is from RNAcentral. Lineage: Eukaryota; Metazoa; Chordata; Mammalia; Primates; Hominidae.
UUCAGGUUGGAAACUCGCAUAGAGGAAAAUGUAACCCAGGGCAAAGCCAAGCAGUGCCCCGAACCAUUCCUGCUGGGGAUGGAAAUACAGAGCAGAGAUACAAGAGAGAACACACGGAUGAUGUUUCAUCAAUUGUUUAAACUCCAGUGUUAAGAAGCUCCUCUGCUCAGCAGAGAGAACGUGAAGUCUGUUGAAAUCUAAAUAUGAGAUGCUGUUCCAUUGCUGCUGUUUUUAUUGGGAGGAGAAGCUGAGAAUCUCACAUCUUCUCCUGUCCUGUGAAAGUUUACUCCAGGCUGCAAAGCAUUUGAUUGUUUUCUUCCCUGCUGGUUCUGCCUUAGAAGAAAUCUCUGGGAAAAAAUGCAUCUAAAGGAGAGACCCAGAGAUGAGAAAGAUAUAACAGGUGGUGACAAUCAUUUUGGCUGUAAAAUAUUAUUUAUUCUAUUUUUAACAUGGUGCCCUUUCUGUUGUGCCUCUGUGUUAUCCAAAGAGUCUUCUGG